UCUAAGCUAGCUCAGUCAGUAGAGCAUGACUCUUAACCUCAGGGUCAUGGGUUUGAACCCCACAUUGGGCAAAAGAU
Molecule: non-coding RNA, 77 nt
Organism: Podarcis lilfordi (Lilford's wall lizard)
Lineage: Eukaryota; Metazoa; Chordata; Lepidosauria; Squamata; Lacertidae
Source: the annotation of a GenBank genome assembly